UACGGAAGGCAGCAGUGGGGAAUAUUGCACAAUGGGCGCAAGCCUGAUGCAGCCAUGCCGCGUGUAUGAAGAAGGCCUUCGGGUUGUAAAGUACUUUCAGUCGUGAGGAAGGUGUUAAGGUUAAUAACCUUAGCAAUUGACGUUAGCGACAGAAGAAGCACCGGCUAACUCCGUGCCAGCAGCCGCGGUAAUACGGAGGGUGCGAGCGUUAAUCGGAAUUACUGGGCGUAAAGGGCACGCAGGCGGUUAAUUAAGUUGGAUGUGAAAUCCCCGGGCUUAACCUGGGAAUGGCAUUCAAGCUGGUUAGCUAGAGUCUUGUAGAGGGGGUAGAAUUCCAUGUGUAGCGGUGAAAUGCGUAGAGAUGUGGAGGAAUACCGGUGGCGAAGGCGGCCCCUGGACAAAGGACUGACGCUCAUGUGCGAAAGCGUGGGGAGCAAACG
RNAcentral lists this ribosomal RNA (440 nucleotides) under uncultured bacterium. RNAcentral's name for it is "bacterial SSU rRNA". It matches the Rfam family "Bacterial small subunit ribosomal RNA", at positions 340 to 774 of the family's 1533-position model. The record is from RNAcentral.